This is a long non-coding RNA of Passer montanus (Eurasian tree sparrow), 3624 nucleotides long. RefSeq lists it as uncharacterized. The record is from RefSeq and is a predicted model, not a curated record. The transcript is spliced from 3 exons. Lineage: Eukaryota; Metazoa; Chordata; Aves; Passeriformes; Passeridae.
CAAGUGAGGGUUUAAAAAUUUUAUAUACAAUUCAAACCAAAUGCUUUAUUUAUUUUUAAUCUGUUGUUUUGGGGUAGCAAUUCUAGGAGAAAUAUUGCUGUGCAUAUAUAAAUAUGAAUGCUUCUGAGCCAGUUUUAGAGGCAUAUAACUGGAGACGAAAGGCACCAACUUAAGCAAUCCCUUUUUUUUUUCUGAUACUACUAUUCAUGAAUGUUGGUUCUGACUGUAUAUUAUCCAUAUAGUAGAUAUUUUUAAUCAAGUUUUAUAUUAGUAGUGAAAAUAUGAACAUUAAGAGUUCUUGAAAAUCACGAGCUGAAUGUAUUGUUUCUGAUUCUUUCAAAUGCAUAUGCUCAAGACAGGGAAGGAUGAGUGAAUUUAUUUUUUAUUUUUCCUUUAGGCAAAAAUCCCUUUCAUGACCAAGGAAGGAGACAAAAACAUUUUUACAGUCCUGAGAAGUGCCUGUUACUAGAAAUGAUUUUCACUUUGUUCCUGAAAAGUAUGCCAAGUUUACUGGUGUUUGCUGGUGAUGUUACAAAGAGAAGCAGGCCUGGCAAGAGGGAGCAUGAGCUUUCCAGUGGAACAUGUGACAGCAGGGACCUGCUCCAGGAGUCUCAACUGGGGCAUCUCGGAAUGGGAAACUCUAGACUGGUGACUGAAAUUGUUUAGAAAAUCCUAAUUAUGUGUGUGAGUUGCUGUAUGUAUAAGCCUGUGCCAGACUCAUUCAGACUUGGUACUCUGAACAGACAAAGGUAAUCUAAGAUCAGGUAAUCUCUAAAAAUGCUGUGGGUUCACACUACCUCAUUUCAGAGAGCAAGCUCGUCUUUCUAAAUUUAAAAAAAAUGUCCCUGAUGUCAAGAAGGACUUAUACUGGGAACAUAAGAGGAAUGUAGCUGGUUUAUAUUCACACUAGCUGGGCUAGUUCCCUCUAGAGCAGACUCCUGUAUUCACAUACCACAGAGCUCCUUGGACUCCUUCUGGUGCCCCUCUAGAGCCAACAUGCAAUUCUGAUUUUUCUGUGUUAUCUUCCAGUUUGAAGUUUGUGAAAUGGUGUGAAACUGCCCUGCAGGCUGUGAGAAGAGUGCUUUCCUAGCAGCAGAGGGAGGGUAUGUGCUGCACGUUCUGGGAUGCAGUAGCUUUGAGGGCACAGCCAGCUUGGGUGGUUUAGAAGAGCACAUCUUGUGAAGUCAAGCAAGAUGUGACCUUGGGAGAGGUGCUUGGUGCUGUCCCUGCAGCAGUGGGAAGCCAUUGCUUUCAGGAGAGCUUCUGGAGGUGUGGGAGCAGCAGCAGGGGCCUGAGCUUUGCUCCCGGACUGCCACAGUGACAACGUGCCCCGAGGGAUCCUGAAUGUCUCUGAACGUCUCUGCUGCCGGUGCCACCCCGGUGUGGUAACGCCCAGGGUCCUGGCUUCACCUGCCAGAGUGACACAGGUAUUUUCACUGCAGAAUAAAUGCAGCACUGGUAAAGAAACACAAGGCUUUUCCUGCAUCAUUUCCACAAAGUCAUGAGUUAAAAUCUUGGUCUUUUUGAAACAAAACACUGACCCAGUUCUAACAAUUCAAGCUUUUGUCCCUGGACUGGACAAGGCCUGGCUAGGCACUGUGAAGGUACUAACCACUGCUGCUCUUCUCUUCACAGCCCAUGGUGUCACCUUGCAGCCUCUCUGGGUUCACUUCAAAUCUUUCUCAAACAGAUAUGGCCAUAAAAAGCCAGUGAAUUGUAACCCCAUGCACCCAAAACUAGAGCGUGUUUCUUUCAGUAUUUUAAUACAAAUAUAUGUUCUAGAAAGGCAAUUUCUCUGUAAUUUUUCUCUGCUUAUGAGGAAUUUUCCAUGAAUUUUAUUUGCUCUGUGCUUCUACUCUGGAUAGGAAAUCCUUUUUUCUUAAUCUAGUUCUAAAUUUUGUGGAACUCGCCACUACUCUAUUACUCUAUCACUAAUGCCAGGGUUUUAACUGUAGGAAAAAUGGCAUGGGGGAAAGGGAAUUCUAUAAACACCUAUUCUUGGAAAAUAACAAAUGAACCUGUACUGAAGCCAGUCAGUAUUAAAAAUUACAAAAUAAAAUUUAAAAAGGAUAUGAAGCCUUAUGCUACUUAUACCAACCAAACAAAUGCUAACUAAUUAAGGGUCAAGGAAAUAUUUUUCCUAGCAUUUGUUUAUUAUUCAAUAAAAAUCAUCAGUUUGUCUUAACUAAAGCAAAGGUGAAGAGCACUCCUGCAGCACAGCUCUAAUGCAGUGUAACUCCUACAGAAGCUGGCUUCAGAAAAACAGUACUUAGCAUAUUAUUUGUUUAAACAAAUCAAACCCAUUUGAAUGAGCAACUAGCAGUGUUUAAGACAAGAAAUCUCAGCAGUGUUUAAAAAACUUGGUGCUAAUGACUAGGAUUGUUUAAGAAACACUAAUCUUUGCAUGAAACUAUUAAGCUCUGUUUUGUUACCAUUAGUGAGUAGGAAAUACAUGUUUGUACAGGAGGGUCAUGCUUCAAUAGUUUAAUCUUUUACUUAGGUUAAUUUUUAUUCAACAUCGUAAUGGCUUAGUGCACUAACUUUUCACUGUUCUUUUAAUUUUUCUCUGUAACUUUCAUGGUCAACAUUUUAUUAGUUUUACCAGAAGAGAUGCUAAAAACCAGUUAUUGCAGAAUUUUUUAAAUAAUCUCAUAUUUUGCUGGUAGGGGGAUAAAUGAUGGUAGUUGGACUAAAUGAACCAUACCAAAAACUGGUCUUAUUUAAAAGGUAAACUGCCUCUGACCUGACACUGUUUUUCAUCUUGACAAGCAGUAAAGCUGAAUAUAAGCACAACUUUUUCCUGUAUUUAUGUUUCAUAAAGACCAGUUGGCAAAGCUUCUUAGUUCUAGUGGCUGUGCCAGCAUCUCGUGUUGUCUCUACACAACGAAAAACUUUGUGAUACAUACACCUACAUCAUGACCUUUAAUAAAGUGGCAUGCCAGGCCAUAAACUUCUACUCCUCCAGAAGCCAGGAGAUGCAAAAUUGCUGACCAAACAUGCUGCUUCCACAUACCUCAUGCAGCUUCCACAUACCUCCCACUGUCUGAUCUGCAGUGUUCCAACAGCUGUAGUUAUGCACAGUGGAACUAAAAUUCUGUAUUAACUGUAUUUACAGUUUCAGAUAAUUCCAUGCAAAUUGCCCAGUAAGUCAUAAUUUAUCAUGUUUGUGUUUGUAGAACUACCUAAAGAUAACAGUUGAAAUAAUAGACUCAUUUCAUAAGAGGUAUUAGAAAGAGAUAUAAAUAAAUAUCUUAUUUCUCCAAACAGCUGAUUAUUUUUAGCAUUACAGGGUUGAUUAAAUACAAGGUGAGAUUAAAAUCCCCUACCAAGUGUACAUUUACAAAUUAAAUGUGUGUGAAUUACUCUGUGUAGAAAACUAAGAGCUCCUAUAUACAGACUAUGUACUAUUGAAGGCUAGCAGAAACACCAAGAAUGGCUUUAUGUGAAUUUUAAGAGUAUUUUGCAUAGUUGUGCUCCUAAAUUUAAAAAAAUAAUAAAAAAGAGGCCCCAAUAUUGAUAAAAAAAUCUCAUCUUCAUCCUCCCUUCACAGAAGAGAAAAAAAUGCAUCUUCAGAGGACAAUUAUGUGAUUUAUUCUAGAUAAUAAAAUGUUAAAAUAAGAUCAA